This 783-nucleotide ribosomal RNA is filed under the name Triticum aestivum (bread wheat). RNAcentral describes it as "partial small subunit ribosomal RNA". Lineage: Eukaryota; Viridiplantae; Streptophyta; Magnoliopsida; Poales; Poaceae. The record is from RNAcentral.
AUGCGUGGGUUUAAUGAAACCUGGUGCGGCUGGGUUAAAAAAAUUCUUUAUAAUGGCACAGUCAGCAUCAAACUAAACAACUGUGUGGGCCCCUACUUCCAAAGUGCUAAGGGGGUGCGGCAGGGUGACCCACACUCUCCUUUCCUGUUUAAUCUUGCUAUGGAGUGCCUGACCAAAAUGAUUAAGAAUGCCCAGAAAAACAAACUGAUCACGGGAUUAGCUUCCGAUCUGAUUCAGGAUGGGGUUGCGGUGCUACAAUAUGCGGAUGACACUAUAAUCUGCUUGGAACAUGACAUAGAUAAAGCGGUCAACUUGAAGUUGCUUCUUUAUACUUUUGAAAUGAUGUCUGGCCUUAAGGUGAAUUUCCAGAAAAGCGAAAUUCUUACUGCGGGUGGGGAUGACACUGUUGUUAAAGAAUAUGCUGAGUUGUUUAAUUGUGAUAUUGGGAGCUUCCCUAUUAAGUACCUAGGGAUGCCUGUGAGUUACACAAACUUACGCAACUCUGAUUGGGAGUUCAUUGUGGUUAAAUACCUAAAAAGGUUCGAAGCCUGGAUCGGCAAUGCCGCAUCGAUGGGAGGCAGGUUAACAUUACUUGACUCGGUCCUUACUCAGCUAUCCAUUUUUCACAUGUCUAUGUGGCUUAUGAAUAAAACAUUCAUUGAAAAGCUGGAUAAACAUAGACGUAGAUUUUUCUGGCAAGGGUGUAAUAAGAAAAAAAAAGAUAUCACCUUGUCAGGUGGAACAGGAUCUGUAGAUCCAAAGACAAAGGAGGUCUGGGGGUGA